RNAcentral lists this ribosomal RNA (253 nucleotides) under uncultured bacterium. RNAcentral's name for it is "partial 16S ribosomal RNA". It matches the Rfam family "Bacterial small subunit ribosomal RNA", at positions 524 to 776 of the family's 1533-position model. The record is from RNAcentral.
UACGUAGGGGGCAAGCGUUGUCCGGAAUUAUUGGGCGUAAAGAGCGCGUAGGCGGUCCGAUAAGUCGGCUGUGAAAGUCAGGGGCUCAACCCUUGAAAGCCGGCCGAUACUGUCGGACUAGAGUUCGGAAGAGGCAAGUGGAAUUCCCGGUGUAGCGGUGAAAUGCGCAGAUAUCGUGAGGAAGACCAGUGGCGAAGGCGAAUCUCUGGACAGAUCCUGACGCUGAGGCACGAAGGCUAGGGGAGCAAACGGG